GUAUCCUCAUUUUAUAUUGUCCAAAAGCUUGAUCAAGUAAAUUCCAUGUCUUCAAGCUCGUAUGCCAUUUCUAAUUGCAGGCUAAACUUCAAAUCGGAGAUGUUGUGAAAUGCUGCAUCAAGAAGAUAGCAUAUUUUGGAAUUUUUGUGGAGCUAAAUAAUUUUGUUUUAGUUGAUGAGAAAUUAAAGAUUAUUGCUACUCAUGUUCUUAGAAGGAUGGUUCUUAGCAAUAUUUGGGUACUUUAAUGGUUGCAUAAGAAGGAGAUUUGAAUAGUUUUCGAGGAAGUUACUUGAUUUGCUGGUUUAUCAUUUAAACACCAUGCUUACUGCCAUUUUCAAUUACAACUCCCUAAAAUGUAGUAAUAACUAAUUAAGAAUCCGAAGC
RNAcentral lists this unclassified non-coding RNA (384 nucleotides) under Hevea brasiliensis (rubber tree). Lineage: Eukaryota; Viridiplantae; Streptophyta; Magnoliopsida; Malpighiales; Euphorbiaceae. The record is from RNAcentral.